GACGAACGCUGGCGGCGUGCUUAACACAUGCAAGUCGAACGGAAAGGCCCUGCUUUUGUGGGGUGCUCGAGUGGCGAACGGGUGAGUAACACGUGAGUCACCUGCCCUUGACUUUGGGAUAACUUCAGGAAACUGGGGCUAAUACCGGAUAGGAGCUCCUGCUGCAUGGUGGGGGUUGGAAAGUUUCGGCGGUUGGGGAUGGACUCGCGGCUUAUCAGCUUGUUGGUGGGGUAGUGGCUUACCAAGGCUUUGACGGGUCGCCGGCCUGAGAGGGUGACCGGCCACAUUGGGACUGAGGUACGGCGCAGACGCCUACGGGAGGCAGCAGUGGGGAAUAUUGCACAAUGGGCGGAAGCCUGAUGCAGCAACGCCGCGUGCGGGAUGACGGCCUUCGGGUUGUAAACCGCUUGCGCCUGUGACGAAGCGUGAGUGACGGUAAUGGGUAAAGAAGCACCGGCUAACUACGUG
This 468-nucleotide ribosomal RNA is filed under the name uncultured bacterium. RNAcentral describes it as "partial 16S ribosomal RNA". It matches the Rfam family "Bacterial small subunit ribosomal RNA", at positions 28 to 507 of the family's 1533-position model. The record is from RNAcentral.